UCCUCCGCUUAUUGAUAUGCUUAAGUUCAGCGGGUAUUCCUACCUGAUCCGAGGUCAACCUUGGGUAAAAAAGGCUUUUAACGGCCGGAACCCGCAGCACGCCCUGAGCGAGAUAAAAUCUACUACGCCCGGUGUGACAGCGAGCCCGCCACUGGUUUUCAGGGCCUGCGGCAGCCGCAGGUCCCCAACACAAGCCUGGGGCUUGAUGGUUGAAAUGACGCUCGAACAGGCAUGCCCGCCAGAAUACUGGCGGGCGCAAUGUGCGUUCAAAGAUUCGAUGAUUCACUGAAUUCUGCAAUUCACAUUACUUAUCGCAUUUCGCUGCGUUCUUCAUCGAUGCCAGAACCAAGAGAUCCGUUGUUGAAAGUUUUGACUUAUUCAGUACAGAAGACUCAGAGAGGCCAUAAUAAUCAAGAGUUGGGUUUCCUCCGGCGGGCGCCCCGCUAGGGGGCCAGGGGGCACCGGGCGGACCCGGGCCGCCCGCCGAAGCAACGGUUUGAAGGUAACGUUCACAAUGGUUUAGGGAGUUUUGCAACUCUGUAAUGAUCCCUCCGCUGGUUCACCAACGGA
RNAcentral lists this unclassified non-coding RNA (570 nucleotides) under uncultured fungus. RNAcentral's name for it is "sequence contains 18S rRNA gene, ITS1, 5.8S rRNA gene, ITS2 and 28S rRNA gene". The record is from RNAcentral. Lineage: Eukaryota; Fungi.